This 424-nucleotide ribosomal RNA is filed under the name uncultured prokaryote. Its description in RNAcentral is "bacterial SSU rRNA". It matches the Rfam family "Bacterial small subunit ribosomal RNA", at positions 355 to 796 of the family's 1533-position model. The record is from RNAcentral.
UGGGGAAUCUUGCACAAUGGGCGCAAGCCUGAUGCAGCCAUGCCGCGUGAGUGAUGAAGGCCCUAGGGUUGUAAAGCUCUUUCAGUGGGGAAGAUAAUGACGGUACCCACAGAAGAAGCCCCGGCUAACUCCGUGCCAGCAGCCGCGGUAAUACGGAGGGGGUUAGCGUUGUUCGGAAUUACUGGGCGUAAAGCGCGCGUAGGCGGAUUAGAAAGUUAGAGGUGAAAUCCCGGGGCUCAACCCCGGAACUGCCUUUAAAACUCCUAGUCUUGAGUUCGAGAGAGGUGAGUGGAAUUCCGAGUGUAGAGGUGAAAUUCGUAGAUAUUCGGAGGAACACCAGUGGCGAAGGCGGCUCACUGGCUCGAUACUGACGCUGAGGUGCGAAAGUGUGGGGAGCAAACAGGAUUAGAUACCCGCGUAGUCC